UGAGCUCAACUAGCCCAGUAAAGAAUAUUAUGACUAAGAUAAUAUACAACAAAUUAUCAUUAGUCUUCAACAGGAAAAAAUCUGAUAGAAUAUAAUAGACAACAAGUUUUAGAUCAACAAAAGCAGCGGAAACAUCAAUCCAUUAGACGAGUUACGUAGAGAAUGAAUUCUACUAUCUUCUAAGAUUUAAAAGUCCAUUAUCAAUAUUUAUCUCUG
This 216-nucleotide long non-coding RNA is filed under the name Panax ginseng (ginseng). RNAcentral describes it as "long non-coding RNA (PGIN_LNC017421)". Lineage: Eukaryota; Viridiplantae; Streptophyta; Magnoliopsida; Apiales; Araliaceae. The record is from RNAcentral.